GGACGUGAGGGUGGUCUGGCUGUGACAGCUGUCACCCCAUGGGUCACCAGGGUUGACUGGGCUGAUCUGGCUGGCAUGGUGGGUGUCCCCCUCCUCCUGCGCCACUCCAUCUACGUCCCUCCCGAAGCUGCACGCUCUAUUCAAGAGAACAACCACCCCUGACAGAGGAGGAGGGUAUAUGGGUAGCUGCACUCCUCUGCAAGGACUUCCAAACAAGCUCUCAAAAACCAUAACUGAGUUUAGCCUGAGGUUAGCUCAAAGGGAGUUCUUACGCUGUAAUAAUUU
This is an unclassified non-coding RNA of Cavia aperea (Brazilian guinea pig), 285 nucleotides long. Its record names the gene 7SK. It matches the Rfam family "7SK RNA". From Rfam's summary of the family: 7SK was discovered as an abundant small nuclear RNA in the mid-70s but a possible function has only recently been suggested. Two independent studies have found that 7SK RNA binds the CDK9/cyclin T complex (known as elongation factor P-TEFb). NCBI's taxonomy places the organism in Eukaryota, Metazoa, Chordata, Mammalia, Rodentia, Caviidae. The record is from Ensembl.